UACAGAGGAGGCAAGCGUUAUUCGGAAUUAUUGGGCGUAAAGGGCGCGUAGGCGGCUUUGCAAGUGGCGGGUGAAAUCCCUCGGCUUAACCGAGGAACUGCCUGUCAAACUGCAUGGCUUGAGACCAGGAGAGGUGAGUGGAAUUCCCAGUGUAGCGGUGAAAUGCGUAGAUAUUGGGAGGAACACCAGUGGCGAAGGCGGCUCACUGGACUGGUACUGACGCUGAUGCGCGAAAGCGUGGGGAGCAAACAGG
This 253-nucleotide ribosomal RNA is filed under the name uncultured bacterium. RNAcentral describes it as "partial 16S ribosomal RNA". It matches the Rfam family "Bacterial small subunit ribosomal RNA", at positions 524 to 776 of the family's 1533-position model. The record is from RNAcentral.